RNAcentral lists this long non-coding RNA (2203 nucleotides) under Equus asinus (donkey). RNAcentral's name for it is "lncRNA (ENSEASG00005025168.1)". Lineage: Eukaryota; Metazoa; Chordata; Mammalia; Perissodactyla; Equidae. The record is from RNAcentral.
CCUCAUUCUCCACCAGUUGUCAACGCCUGGGGGGCAGGGGGCGGGGGAGUCCUCCAAGAGGACCAGAAAAACUAGAUCAAAGUGUCCAGCUGGUAACAGAAGAGUGGGCUGCAGGGCCUGACCCUCUGGUAUUGGCUGCCCAGGGGGAGAGCAGUUGAGAUGAGCUCUCCCGGUGGGUAAUAAAAUGAGUCUACGUAGGGAGGAAGCAGGAUGUAUAAAGCCCAGGAGCCUGAUCUGUUUCUGAGAUCAAACAGAGCAGCAUUGUACCGGGGUGUGGAGCUGAUGUCAGCGUCUAGAAUGCUGGUCGGAAUCGCCCUGGUUACGCAGCUGGACCGGAAUAAGCAGGCCACUGCAGUCUACCUUUGGUGCUGGCACGUUGUGUGUGUGAGAAGACUGGCCCCACCAGCUCAGUGGAUGCCUCCACAACUGGCUGAUGGUUUGGUUGUCCCAAGUCAUCAUAUUUUUUCUUCAAAUACACAAAGCCCAACUUGAGGACCAAGACAAAACAACAUAAAUGUCCUUUAAAGCAAAAGUCCCAACCCAGCAACCCAGAACCUAGCAGACCCCAAGGAGCUCAGAUCCAAAAUGACCUCGUAACGACAGUGGAAAAACCCACACGAGAAAACCUUUCGUGAGGAGGGUGCUUCAUAAAAUCCAGCUGAAUAAACCUCAUUUCUCUAAACCGCCUUUCUCUGCUACCUCCAGAAGCCAGCCGCCUCGGGAUCUCAACGUGCCCCUGCAUGGUGACCAUCACCUCCCGUCCUGCUAUGUCUAAACUGCCAACCUCAGCUUCACGCUCGUUCCCUCCAUGAAAGUGCAUGAUUUCUACAUUGAGGCUCCUGGAAUCGCCCCCCUCCUCUUUUUCUCUUUUUUCAGUCCUCCUUUUCCUUCUUUGGGUCCUGAGCACCCUGCCAUUCUUCCAAAACGGCGAAAAGCGGAGGUGGGGGGGGGGCGGGGAAGAGGAGAAGCAAACGAAACUUCCCCACGGCGCUGUGAGUGACUGCUAGGUUUCCAUGGCUCACUUUCCACUGUUCCCGGUGACCCCUGCAGACUCCCCUUAUGAGUGAGUGUCCCGGAAUGUCUCUUUAUUAGGUGUCUGGAGAAGUAAAGCUGUCCUGAUGCCAGCGCCCCCACACUGAGGACUUUAUUAGUUUUUUAAUUUUCUGUCCGGGUGCUCCUGCUGCAUCAAACUUUCCACAGCUGUUAGGAGCUAUUAAGUAAGUAGCCUCAUCGGCCCUUUCCCCUCCCCCACCCCCUUCUUAAUAACACAAGAAACUUCUGGCCCUGCUACAUGGAGCCUUUAAAAUAAAGACACUUUGUCUCUCUGAUGAGAAAUCCUUGGAGGUCUGGGUGAGGAGAGGAUGUCCUGCCGUAAGAAAAGCGCCUUGUCUCGUCGCUGUCUGGGCUCAGAGCGGGCUCUUCAGACGACGUGGGGAACCGAGCCGGGGUGGGGGGCCGGGCAGAAGGGAGAACCCACUCUUUCAGCCAUUCUGCGCAGCCAGGAGGGGACCCGGGGUAGCUCUGACUGUUUUCAGGGCUGACUUGGAAUCCCGCCCAGAGCGUGAUGCCUGGUUCAAAGCGUUCCCUCCUGAUGGACAUUCUAAGACCUGCAGCGAAGGAUAAAACGGAACGAUUUGCUAACGUUCCCCAGGUAGGCACACAGCUGUGGUUCUGUGCAACAGGCCAGGGUUAUUGCUCCUGGCUCCCCUGGGAAGGAAAUCCUGAUCCCCACCCACCCCCGCACCAGCCCCCUCCCUGCCAGCGUCUGUGAGAUGCCUGGCCAUCCACAGGACUCCCUGUGUGUAAAUCCAAAGAUGGGUGCACACACACAUACACACACACAGGCACAGAGCGAUGUAUUAUUAAACCAAGCAACCUGGCCCUUUCCCAUAGCACCCGUGGAUCUGGAAGGUUAUGAGCGCUCAGUGGCAGAGGAGGACAGGCUAAGAGGCUUGAGAGCCCAGAGAAUUCUUAGCAUCCCUCCCUCGCGGCUCCAGCCUGCCUGGCAAUUUGCUUUCCAAUGGCUGCCUUUAAGCCUCCCUUUGAGAAGACCUUAUUUGCAGGGUAAAUGUGAAAGACUAGAGAGAAGAAAACCCUUUGGUGAUGCCCGCCUCGGGAACCAUUUUGCCUCUGAGAGCAAGUUGGUAUUUGGGGUUAAUCCUUUGGUGGAAACAUUGGGUUGAAAGCCCAGAGGAGGUCAGGG